AAAAUGUCUAUGAAUAUAGGAUUUACGCAUGUUCAUUUUUAGAAAUGGAUGUAUAAGUACAUCUAGAGCCAAUUUGGUGACCAGAAUUUAUAGGAGUGAAAGAGAUUGAGGAUAAAAUAGUUCAUUUCCCUCCAAUCCUAGUGACCAUAUCAACCCCUAUUUCCACGAUUUCCUCAGCCGACCGCCUGCGCCGGCCACUCCUCGGCGCCGCCCUGCUCCGGCUCGGCCCGACCCCGGUUGGCUCGUCCGCGCUCGUCCAACGCCGUCUUCUCGACGGCCCAGCCGGCUGAGGACAGCUGUGCUCGUCGUGUCGAGUCGAUGACGCGGAUCCUCUGCUGCGGCCUGCUGGCACGCUCGGAUCCAGGUUUCGACGCGCGCGAGAUGUUUGUCGCGCGCCAAAUAUCCAUCCCAUCCCUCUACCAGGUCAGCGGCAACGGAGGCGUCGAUGGCGGCCUGCAUCCUUGAUCGCGGAAGCUGCUCGGCAGCGUGAGCAGCAAUGGCGGCCCGCCCCGUUGUUUGAGUCACGGCAACAACGGCCGCCUCCGUCGCGAAAACCGCAGCAACAGAGCCGCCUCUAACUCUCUGGCUCAACCGCCGCCGCCGCCUAGGCCGGCACAACGCGACUAGCGUCAUCUCAACGCUCUUGAGUGGCAACCGAAGGCUUGACUCCUACAAAUGUUCACGGUAGGCCAAAAAAAACUUUUUUUUUUGUUUGGCGGCGUGGUUGUCGACGAAAGGUGGCCAUCGGCUUGCUGAGGACAACACCGUGCAGCAGGCGGCAGGUGCAGCUACCACCUCAUCAGAACGUAGAAGCUGUUCAUUGUUUGGAUGCAAAAAAUAAUUUGGUUUCCUUCCUGC
Molecule: long non-coding RNA, 858 nt
Organism: Zea mays
Lineage: Eukaryota; Viridiplantae; Streptophyta; Magnoliopsida; Poales; Poaceae
Exons: 1
Source: RefSeq, marked validated